CCUACGGGUGGCAGCAGUGAGGAAUAUUGGUCAAUGGUCGGGAGACUGAACCAGCCAAGCCGCGUGCGGGAGGAAGGUACAGAGUAUCGUAAACCUCUUUUGUCAGGGAACAAAGACUGGGACGCGUCCCCGGAUGAGUGUACCUGCCGAAAAAGCAUCGGCUAACUCCGUGCCAGAAGCCGCGGUAAUACGGAGGAUUCGGGCGUUAUCCGGAUUUAUUGGGUUUAAAGGGUGCGUAGGCUGUUGGAGAAGUUAGAGGUCAAAUGUCGGGGCUUAACCCCGUGCCUGCCUCUGAUACUGUUCGACUAGAGAGCGGAUGCAGCAGGCGGAAUGAGUAGUGUAGCGGUGACAUGCUUAGAUAUUACUCAGAACACCGAUUGCGCAGGCAGCUUGCUAAUCCGCAUCUGACGCUGAUGCACGAAAGCGUGGGUAGCGAACAGGAUUAGAUACCCCAGUAGUC
This 460-nucleotide ribosomal RNA is filed under the name uncultured bacterium. RNAcentral's name for it is "partial 16S ribosomal RNA". It matches the Rfam family "Bacterial small subunit ribosomal RNA", at positions 338 to 795 of the family's 1533-position model. The record is from RNAcentral.